UGGGGAAUAUUGGACAAUGGGCGAAAGCCUGAUCCAGCCAUGCCGCGUGAGUGACGAAGGCCUUAGGGUUGUAAAACUCUUUCGUCGGGGACGAUAAUGACGGUACCCGAAGAAGAAGCUCCGGCUAACUUCGUGCCAGCAGCCGCGGUAAUACGAAGGGAGCUAGCGUUGUUCGGAAUCACUGGGCGUAAAGCGCACGUAGGCGGAUAGUUAAGUCAGGGGUGAAAUCCUGGGGCUCAACCCCAGAACUGCCUUUGAUACUGGCUGUCUCGAGGUCGAGAGAGGUUGGUGGAAUUCCUAGUGUAGAGGUGAAAUUCGUAGAUAUUAGGAAGAACACCAGUGGCGAAGGCGGCCAACUGGCUCGAUACUGACGCUGAGGUGCGAAAGCGUGGGGAGCAAACAGGAUUAGAUACCCACGUAGUCCCUGAGCGGGCUGGCAAGGCG
Molecule: ribosomal RNA, 444 nt
Filed under: uncultured bacterium
Lineage: Bacteria
Description: bacterial SSU rRNA
Rfam family: Bacterial small subunit ribosomal RNA
Source: RNAcentral